ACGGGAGGCAGCAGUGGGGAAUAUUGGACAAUGGGGGCAACCCUGAUCCAGCCAUGCCGCGUGUGUGAAGAAGGCCUUUUGGUUGUAAAGCACUUUAAGCAGGGAGGAGAGGCUAAUGGUUAAUACCCAUUAGAUUAGACGUUACCUGCAGAAUAAGCACCGGCUAACUCUGUGCCAGCAGCCGCGGUAAUACAGAGGGUGCGAGCGUUAAUCGGAAUUACUGGGCGUAAAGCGAGUGUAGGUGGCUCAUUAAGUCACAUGUGAAAUCCCCGGGCUUAACCUGGGAACUGCAUGUGAUACUGGUGGUGCUAGAAUAUGUGAGAGGGAAGUAGAAUUCCAGGUGUAGCGGUGAAAUGCGUAGAGAUCUGGAGGAAUACCGAUGGCGAAGGCAGCUUCCUGGCAUAAUAUUGACACUGAGAUUCGAAAGCGUGGGUAGCAAACAGGAUUAGAUACCCUGGUA
Molecule: ribosomal RNA, 460 nt
Filed under: uncultured Enhydrobacter sp.
Lineage: Bacteria; Pseudomonadati; Pseudomonadota; Alphaproteobacteria; Hyphomicrobiales
Description: partial 16S ribosomal RNA
Rfam family: Bacterial small subunit ribosomal RNA
Source: RNAcentral